CCCCUCGAUGACAAGGAGCUGGUGUCCUACAUACUUGCCAGGCUCGACAUCGACUACAAUCCGUUGGCGUCCAACAUUGUUGGGUGCACAGAACCUGUUUCUCUGAGUGAUAUGUAUGCUCAGAUGAUCAGCUACAACA
Molecule: small nucleolar RNA, 139 nt
Filed under: Oryza punctata
Lineage: Eukaryota; Viridiplantae; Streptophyta; Magnoliopsida; Poales; Poaceae
Description: Small nucleolar RNA Z247
Rfam family: Small nucleolar RNA Z247
About the family: Z247 is a member of the C/D class of snoRNA which contain the C (UGAUGA) and D (CUGA) box motifs.
Source: Rfam by way of RNAcentral